Molecule: long non-coding RNA, 575 nt
Organism: Corylus avellana
Lineage: Eukaryota; Viridiplantae; Streptophyta; Magnoliopsida; Fagales; Betulaceae
Source: RefSeq, a predicted model, not a curated record
GUUUCUCCAAGAGCAAGAGAGUGAAAGAGAGAGAGCUAUGGGUUUUCAAGCACAAUUGUGUUUCUUCGUCUUGCUAACCUUUUCCAUAACGUGCCUUGCUCGCAAAAUUCCUUAUGGAAAUGAAAGGACUUUAGCAAGUGGGGACUUUGAUCAAAUGCCAAAGGCGCGUCCUUUUCCCCCUCCUCCUGCCAAGGACUUUGAUAAUAAUCCAAGGGUGCUUCCUUUUCCCCCUCCUCCUGUAACAAAUGUGGCCACUUUACUUUCAGAAAACGAGAGGAGUUUGUUCAAUGUAGACUACGAAGGCCCCCAUACGCAUCCUUCACGGCCACCUCAUAAUUAAUCUGAUGAAUGUGCCCCCCUUCACUUUGAAGAAAUUAAUGAAGGGAGGACAAUGAAUAAUGAUCCCCUUCCUCCCAAAAGAGGGUGGCAGCAUUGGCCAACAAGACUCAGAUAUUCACUUGUCAACUAAAAGUACAUACCCAUAGAUGAUGCACACUUGUGUUCUGGGUCUAGUCUCUUUUGAAUAAGUUGAUGAGUUAAGGUGAUGUAAGGAUACUUAUUAUAAUUAAUCAAUG